This 449-nucleotide ribosomal RNA is filed under the name uncultured prokaryote. RNAcentral's name for it is "bacterial SSU rRNA". It matches the Rfam family "Bacterial small subunit ribosomal RNA", at positions 355 to 796 of the family's 1533-position model. The record is from RNAcentral.
CUAAGAAUCUUCCGCAAUGGACGAAAGUCUGACGGAGCGACGCCGCGUGAACGAUGAAGGCCGAAAGGUUGUAAAGUUCUUUUCUUGUUGAGGAAUAAGAUAGGGAGGGAAUGCCCUAUUGAUGACGGUAGGCAAGGAAUAAGCCCCGGCCAAUUACGUGCCAGCAGCCGCGGUAACACGUAUGGGGCGAGCGUUGUUCGGAAUCAUUGGGCGUAAAGGGCGCGCAGGCGGUUGCGUAAGCCUGGUGUGAAAGACCGCAGCUUAACUGCGGGAGCGCGCUGGGAACUGUGUAACUAGAGUUCAAGAGGGGGAGUUGGAAUUCCAGGUGUAGGGGUGAAAUCUGUAGAUAUCUGGAAGAACAUCGGUGGCGAAGGCGAACUCCUGGCUAUGAACUGACGCUGAGGCGCGAAAGCGUGGGGAGCGAACAGGAUUAGAUACCCCCGUAGUCC